UAAUGAUGGCUAUUGUAUGUCAGGAGUA
This 28-nucleotide small RNA is filed under the name Bombyx mori (domestic silkworm). RNAcentral's name for it is "ovarian small RNA-19741". The record is from RNAcentral. Lineage: Eukaryota; Metazoa; Arthropoda; Insecta; Lepidoptera; Bombycidae.